UUCGCCGUACUCAAACCGACACAGGUGGGUUAGCUGAGAAAGCUAAGGCCUAGGAUCAAUCUCAGGGAAGGAACUCGGCAAAAUGCUAGCGUGACUUUGGAGGAAGCUAGACCUUUUUAACAAAAGGUGGCACAAAAUUGAAGGGGACAACUGUUUAAUAAAAACACAGGACUUUGCAAAGUAACAAUACUAUGUAUAAAGUCUGACGCCUGCCCGGUGUUCAGUGACAGGGAGUUUGGGGUUAACGCUUCAACCCCGAAGAAUGGAUAAACGGCAGCCGUAACUCUAACGGUUCUAAGGUAGCGAAAUUCCUUGGCAUAUAAUUGAUGUCCUGCACGAAUGGCGUCAUGAUCCCCUUACUGUCUCCCCUGAGAUUCCAGCGAAUUUGACAUCUCCGUGAAGAGGCGGAGUGCUCCGAAAGGGACAAUGAGACCCCGUGCACCUUCACUACACGCUGUGACCGUUGUAGAAAGAUGUUGAGUUCAGAAUAAGUGGGAGCAUUUACGCGACUUUGAGAUACCACUCUUAACUCUUUUUACAACACUGCAAGACCUAGAAUAGAUUAUCUACUUACACCCUUGCACAUCCACAGUUUGGUAGUUUCACUGGGGCGGUGGCCUUCAAUAAUGUAUCGAGGGCGUGCCAAGGUUCGGCGUCACCUACUUCAAAGGAUGACAUAAUGGCAACCCAUAAACCGAGCCUGACUGUGAGGCCAACCAGCCAAACAGAGACGCAAGUCGGCGGUAGAGACCCAGAACAGUGGUGUGGAAGCUGUUCUGAUCAUCGGAUCAAAGGUACGCCGGGGAUAACAGGUUAAUCAGCUCCAAGAGUCCAUAUCGACGAGCUGGUUUGACACCUCGAUGUCGACUUAUCCUAUCCUUCAGCUGCAGGCGGUUGAAAGGGUUAGACUGUUCGUCUAUUAAAAGGUUACACGAGUUGGGUUUAGACCGCCGCGAGGCAGGUUGGAUCUUAUCUUUUCGGAGUGGAGAUUGCGGAAAACCUAUUGUGUACGAAAGGAUCGCGUAGGUCGAAUCCCUGGUCCAUGAGUUAUUCCUUACGGAGUACAGCUCAGCAGCUACAUUCGCAGAGAGUAUGGCUGAAAGCAUCUCAAGCCAGAAACUCGUUCCAAAAUGGAUCUCAAACACGUUCCAGAAUAGAACGUUAAUAGGCGUCCAGUGUACCAAGGUAACUUGUCAGCUGGGACGUACUAAUC
RNAcentral lists this ribosomal RNA (1213 nucleotides) under Mychonastes homosphaera. Its description in RNAcentral is "LSU rRNA". It matches the Rfam family "Bacterial large subunit ribosomal RNA", at positions 1638 to 2906 of the family's 2925-position model. The record is from RNAcentral. Lineage: Eukaryota; Viridiplantae; Chlorophyta; Chlorophyceae; Sphaeropleales; Mychonastaceae.